GCCAUAGACACUAUAAGCACCUGGAUGUCACAGCACCUGGCUCUAUCAGGUCUUCACUGAGUGAAAAUGCUGCCUUUAAGCUAUUUGACCAUUGCCAAGGGCCUGUGGUUUAUUUGCUUUCCAGCAUAGUGGCUUCUGUUUACCUCUCUGGAUUGCAGCCUGUUUCCUGGCAGCUACUUUAAAUCCGGAUGUCUGAGAAGGUUGAGAGGAUGAGAUGGAGUGAACAGCAGCAUGUGCUGUGACAGAGAGGUUGAACUUUCCCUUCAUUUCUACAACAACAGAGGAAUGAGCAGUCAGAAUAGCCCAUGCAGGAAAGUGAAGGUAAAGGCCAUGGAAGCAGCAUCCAAGUCUCACGUAUAUUUCAUACAUAAAGAUGCCGUGGCAUUUCCAUAUGAGUUUGACGUGGUCCGGAAGCAAAAGAAGUCUGGAAAGUCUGCCCUCAUCACCAUCUUUCCCCUCCCAAUGGCACGGGGAGCUGAUGAAGAACUGCUAUUCAGGCUAAUUAUACGUGUGUGAUGAAAGACUUAUCACCAGCCCUAUGAUACAGAGCCUUGUGAGUCCACAGAGUCAUCUUCAGACGUUUCCAUUGUUUGGAGCGAAUGGAAGCCAUGAGGACAUUUGGAUGAGAUAAAGGGGAUUCUGAAACUUCCUGUGUUCAGGUGAUAACCAGCUCUCUGUGUCAGCAUGCAUGUAUUCUUGAACAGUUCACUUACCCUGGCAAGCCACAGCGCUGUAUCUUGGCUUUGAACUGUGAAAUUGAUUAUUUUGAUCUUUCAUCGGGGGACUCCAAAGGACAAGAACUAAUUAAACAAAUCUGUGAUGUGGGAUUGACAAGCAUAAUAUUUUCUUUCUUUUUUUCUUUCUACCAUUAUCUAAUGAGAUUUUUAAUUCUUACUAGGAAAAAAAAUAUUUCAUUAAAUAUGCCACAAUUUAAAAGACACUCGAUGACAGUGAGGUUAAAGAACUAUUUUUCUAGCAACUUUAUCACAAAGUCAUGGGACCAACUCACAAAUAAUACAGUCAAAAUAACAGACUAUAUAUUACUAAUAAUAAGUUAAUGUUUGCCACUUGUUUGCUUAAUUUUAUUUCUGUUUAUGGAGAAGGAACAACUGCAUCUUUUGCUAACUCAUAAAUAAAUACAUAAACUUUCAGCUCUUAUUCA
RNAcentral lists this long non-coding RNA (1162 nucleotides) under Anas platyrhynchos platyrhynchos (common mallard). RNAcentral's name for it is "lncRNA (ENSAPLG00000021698.1)". Lineage: Eukaryota; Metazoa; Chordata; Aves; Anseriformes; Anatidae. The record is from RNAcentral.